This 586-nucleotide ribosomal RNA is filed under the name uncultured fungus. Its description in RNAcentral is "eukaryotic LSU rRNA". The stretch from base 172 to 325 matches the Rfam family "5.8S ribosomal RNA". Lineage: Eukaryota; Fungi. The record is from RNAcentral.
UCCGUAGGUGAACCUGCGGAAGGAUCAUUAACGUGGGGGUAAAACCCUGCCGAGAUAGAACCCUUGCCUUUUGUAUACCGUCCGUUUCCUCGGCAGGCUCGCCUGUCGAUGGACCAAUUUAUAAACCUUUGCAAUAACCUGUAAUAGUCUGAUUUAAAAUUUAAAAAUUAAAACUUUCAACAACGGAUCUCUUGGUUCUGGCAUCGAUGAAGAACGCAGCGAAAUGCGAUAAGUAAUGUGAAUUGCAGAAUUCAGUGAAUCAUCGAAUCUUUGAACGCACCUUGCGCUCCUUGGUAUUCCGAGGAGCAUGCCUGUUUGAGUGUCAUGAAUAUCUCAACCCAACAGUUUUUUGUAAUGAGAACUGAAGGGCUUGGACUUGGAGGCUUUGCCGGCGCUUGUCGGCUCCUCUCUAAAUUCAUUAGCUGAGUCUUUCGAGACGUAGCCUCGGUGUGAUAAUUGUCUACGCCGUGUGUUUGCGUUCUUGCUUGCGCCACCCUGCUUUUGCAGUUGUUGUGGGGGAGACUUCUGGCUUCUAAUCGUCUUCGGACAAUUCACUUUGACAUCUGACCUCAAAUCAGGGGGUAGG